Molecule: ribosomal RNA, 459 nt
Filed under: uncultured bacterium
Lineage: Bacteria
Description: bacterial SSU rRNA
Rfam family: Bacterial small subunit ribosomal RNA
Source: RNAcentral
GCUGAGGUACGAAAGCAUGGGGAGCAAACAGGAUUAGAUACCCUGGUAGUCCAUGCCGUAAACGAUGUCUACUAGCCGUUGGGGCCCUUGAGGCUUUAGUGGCGCAGCUAACGCGAUAAGUAGACCGCCUGGGGAGUACGGUCGCAAGACUAAAACUCAAAUGAAUUGACGGGGGCCCGCACAAGCGGUGGAGCAUGUGGUUUAAUUCGAUGCAAGCGAAGAACCUUACCUGGCCUUGACAUACAGAGAACUUUCCAGAGAUGGAUUGGUGCCUUCGGGAACUCUGAUACAGGUGCUGCAUGGCUGUCGUCAGCUCGUGUCGUGAGAUGUUGGGUUAAGUCCCGCAACGGGCGCAACCCUUUUCCUUAUUUGCCAGCACUUCGGGUGGGAACUUUAAGGAUACUGCCAGUGACAAACUGGAGGAAGGCGGGGACGACGUCAAGUCAUCAUGGCCCUUAC